This 309-nucleotide ribosomal RNA is filed under the name uncultured bacterium. RNAcentral's name for it is "partial 16S ribosomal RNA". It matches the Rfam family "Bacterial small subunit ribosomal RNA", at positions 504 to 808 of the family's 1533-position model. The record is from RNAcentral.
AGAGACAGCAGCAGCCACGGGAAAACGUAGGUCCCGAGCGUUGUCCGGAUUUAUUGGGCGUAAAGCGAGCGCAGGCGGUUAGAUAAGUCUGAAGUUAAAGGCUGUGGCUUAACCAUAGUACGCUUUGGAAACUGUUUAACUUGAGUGCAAGAGGGGAGAGUGGAAUUCCAUGUGUAGCGGUGAAAUGCGUAGAUAUAUGGAGGAACACCGGUGGCGAAAGCGGCUCUCUGGCUUGUAACUGACGCUGAGGCUCGAAAGCGUGGGGAGCAAACAGGAUUAGAUACCCCCGUAGUCCCUGUCUCUUAUACA